This 987-nucleotide long non-coding RNA is filed under the name Ananas comosus (pineapple). Its description in RNAcentral is "long non-coding RNA (ACOM_LNC022012)". The record is from RNAcentral. Lineage: Eukaryota; Viridiplantae; Streptophyta; Magnoliopsida; Poales; Bromeliaceae.
AUUAGAACAAUCAAUGAGCCCAACACGAGCGAACUGACACCGACUCAUGUUUACUUGUUUAUAAAAUAAGUCGAAAAAGAGCUUGUUCGUUAAAAUAUUAAGUUGAAAAAAUUUAUCUUAUGUUGGACUUAUUUAUUAACGAUCCAAAUACAAGCUAGCUCGUGAGCAGUAAAUUAGAUUAUCAGCUCUAUUACUGAGUAAAAAUUGAAAGAAAAUAGAAUCUUAAAAUCUUAAUUAUAUAUAUAGAGAGAGAGAGAGAGAGAGAGAGAGAAAGAGAGAGUAUGGAUAUGGUGCUUUGAAAAGCACCAAGCAAUUGGUGCUUGUAAGUUUUUUAUCAUUAGAUCUAUCCCUUCGGCCAAUUCCAUCCCUUAGAUUACGCUAUUCCACCGACCGUCCGCUCAACCCUAAAAAGAAUUACCAUUAUCCUAAUCCUACAAAUCUUCAUCCAAAGACCGAAAACCUAAAAGCACCAAUGGUUUGAUGUUUUAAAAUCAUAGCAGCUCAAUUCAUAUAUAUACAUAUGAAUAUUCGAGCUAUAUCAAGCCGAACAUGAGUGAGCUGACUCCAACUCGUAUUCGGCUCGUUUGCUAAAUGAACGAUUGAUCUCAAACUCAUUUCGACCAAGCACACGCUAGCUCGUGAACAACGAGCUUGAUUGCCAACCUUAAUUAGAAUUAAAUGAUUUUAACCAAAUAUAUUUAAAAUUUUAUCACAUUGAGGGCUUAUUUGGUUUAAGAGUAGAAUUAGAAUGGAUAAUAGAAUGAGAAUGAAUUGGAAUGGCAAUUGGAUUGCCCUACUCCCCCAAGACGUUUGGUUCAUUUCUGGAUUGAAAAUUGGAAUGAAUUAUUCCUAUUUUACUGUUUGGUUCAUACAAAAUAAAAAAUAAUAGAAUAACAUAAUAUUAAUUUUACUUUUAAAUAUAAUUUUAUAAAACUAUCUACAAUUUAUAAAAAAAAAAUUAAUACUAUUCUCAAGUUAGAGCUAUGC